Molecule: non-coding RNA, 72 nt
Organism: Araneus ventricosus
Lineage: Eukaryota; Metazoa; Arthropoda; Arachnida; Araneae; Araneidae
Source: the annotation of a GenBank genome assembly
UAGCGGAAUCGGGUUUCGAACCUGGAACCCUCAGGUUCUGAAGACGAGACCUUACCACUAAGCCACCGCGGC